UCGAUGGAGAGUUUGAUCCUGGCUCAGGACGAACGCUGGCGGCGUGCUUAACACAUGYAAGUCGAGCGGACCUUCGGGUCAGCGGCGAACGGGUGAGUAACACGUGGGCAACCUGCCCCAGGCUCUGGAAUAACUCCGGGAAACCGGGGCUAAUGCCGGAUAUUCACAGUACCGGGCAUCUGGUGGUGUGGAAAGAUUUAUUGGCUUGGGAUGGGCCCGCGGCCUAUCAGCUUGUUGGUGGGGUAAUGGCCUACCAAGGCGACGACGGGUAGCCGGCCUGAGAGGGCGAUCGGCCACACUGGGACUGAGACACGGCCCAGACUCCUACGGGAGGCAGCAG
Molecule: non-coding RNA, 340 nt
Filed under: Pseudofrankia asymbiotica
Lineage: Bacteria; Bacillati; Actinomycetota; Actinomycetes; Frankiales; Frankiaceae
Description: Frankia asymbiotica Bacterial small subunit ribosomal RNA
Rfam family: Bacterial small subunit ribosomal RNA
Source: Rfam by way of RNAcentral